AGAGAGAACAAUCAUUUUCUUUCCCUUGCAGGAAAGACCAUAUUUAAUACUGUGAUAUUAACUAAAAGGAACUCCAUGAAAUGCUGCUCCAGUUUUAUGAUCUUGCUAAACUCUGGAGAYCACUGGAAGUGGGAAUUUCAGAAAAUAGGAAGUAUAUAUUUAAAAUACACGUCUGACUAGAAUGCGUGAUGGUGUUAUGUCUGCGCUCACUGCAACUCAGGGAAAAAAAAACCUUCAUAAAAAUACGUCCUUAAUAUCUGACCGACAUGUUUGUAUUGAAGAGCUGGAAGGUAUAGACCUGAAGAAGAAAGGCCAAAAAUCAGCAGCUUCUCCUCCCUCUCUCAAAAUUGAGCCCAAAAAGCAAUUAAUGAAAACAGGAAGACAAUAAUCUAUAGGCAACACUAAUACCGGCUUCUUAGGAAAGAGAAGAUGACGAGAACCAUAAAUGAUUUUUCCUUGAACUCUGGAAGUAUUAAGAGAUCCCCUCUCUGUGCUUUUGCAAAGGGCCAUUGGCCACAGGAAUGGGCCAGGUCGUCAGCCAGCGUAAAGAAGUACGAAUGCCAAUUUUGCCGAAAUGAAAAUGCAGCAUCCAAUGUGUGCACAGGCUACCUGGGGAGAGGGCAGGAACGUUUUCGUCAUCCACAUUGAGAACGAGCAGAAACAUUUUCUCAGGCUUCUCUAGGAAUACUUUAUAAUGGUGAAGUAUCAAUUUAUUCCUUUUGACAGAAGUUGCUCAACUGUUCCAAUGGUCAUUUAUAGGGAUAUAUUUUUUUUCAAUUACUUGUUGACUGAGAGCAUAGAAAUCCAGCAKUUUUCUCUUUGCAGUGCCAGGGCAGUUCCUGUUUAUUUCUGCUGAUAUUUUAUGUUCAAAAAACCUGCAAAUCUCUAAUUAAAAAAAAGUCAAAAUGCAWGAUUAAUUACAGAUCAAGAGUAUUUUGAAAGCAGGAAAGAAAAUAAACAACUCUGGUAAAGUGAACA
RNAcentral lists this long non-coding RNA (978 nucleotides) under Dromaius novaehollandiae (emu). Its description in RNAcentral is "lncRNA (ENSDNVG00000010118.1)". Lineage: Eukaryota; Metazoa; Chordata; Aves; Casuariiformes; Dromaiidae. The record is from RNAcentral.